Molecule: ribosomal RNA, 555 nt
Filed under: uncultured bacterium
Lineage: Bacteria
Description: partial 16S ribosomal RNA
Rfam family: Bacterial small subunit ribosomal RNA
Source: RNAcentral
UAGGGAAUCUUCCACAAUGGACGAAAGUCUGAUGGAGCAACGCCGCGUGAGUGAUGAAGGGUUUCGGCUCGUAAAACUCUGUUGUUGGAGAAGAACGGGUGUCAGAGUAACUGUUGACAUCGUGACGGUAUCCAACCAGAAAGCCACGGCUAACUACGUGCCGGCAGCCGCGGUAAUACGUAGGUGGCAAGCGUUGUCCGGAUUUAUUGGGCGUAAAGCGAGCGCAGGCGGUUUUUUAGGUCUGAUGUGAAAGCCUUCGGCUUAACCGGAGAAGUGCAUCGGAAACCGGGAGACUUGAGUGCAGAAGAGGACAGUGGAACUCCAUGUGUAGCGGUGAAAUGCGUAGAUAUAUGGAAGAACACCAGUGGCGAAGGCGGCUGUCUGGUCUGCAACUGACGCUGAGGCUCGAAAGCAUGGGUAGCGAACAGGAUUAGAUACCCUGGUAGUCCAUGCCGUAAACGAUGAGUGCUAAGUGUUGGAGGGUUUCCGCCCUUCAGUGCUGCAGCUAACGCAUUAAGCACUCCGCCUGGGGGAGUACGACCGCAAGGUUGAAAC